CAGCCGCCGCGGGAAUGCGUAGGUGGCAAGCGUUGUCCGGAAUUAUUGGGCGUAAAGCGCGCGCAGGUGGUUUAAUAAGUCUGAUGUGAAAGCCCACGGCUCAACCGUGGAGGGUCAUUGGAAACUGUUAAACUUGAGUGCAGGAGAGAAAAGUGGAAUUCCUAGUGUAGCGGUGAAAUGCGUAGAGAUUAGGAGGAACACCAGUGGCGAAGGCGGCUCUUUGGCCUGUAACUGACACUGAGGCGCGAAAGCGUGGGGAGCAAACAGGACUAGAUACCCCCGUAGUCCCUGUCUCUUAUAC
RNAcentral lists this ribosomal RNA (301 nucleotides) under uncultured bacterium. RNAcentral describes it as "partial 16S ribosomal RNA". It matches the Rfam family "Bacterial small subunit ribosomal RNA", at positions 509 to 807 of the family's 1533-position model. The record is from RNAcentral.